Molecule: ribosomal RNA, 762 nt
Filed under: uncultured bacterium
Lineage: Bacteria
Description: bacterial SSU rRNA
Rfam family: Bacterial small subunit ribosomal RNA
Source: RNAcentral
AACUGGAGGACUGGAGAGCAGGAGAGGGCGGUGGAACUCCAUGUGUAGCGGUAAAAUGCGUAGAUAUAUGGAAGAACACCAGUGGCGAAGGCGGCCGCCUGGCCUGUUGCUGACGCUGAGGCACGAAAGCGUGGGGAGCAAAUAGGAUUAGAUACCCUAGUAGUCCACGCCGUAAACGAUGAGGACCAAGUGUUGGGGGUGAAACCUCAGUGCUGAAGUUAACGCAGUGAGUCCUCCGCCUGGGGAGUAUGCACGCAAGUGUGAAACUCAAAGGAAUUGACGGGGGCCCGCACAAGCGGUGGAGUAUGUGGUUUAAUUCGAAGCAACGCGAAGAACCUUACCAGGCCUUGACAUGGAUGCGAAGACGCAGAGAUGCGUUGGAGGUCAACAUCCACACAGGUGGUGCAUGGUUGUCGUCAGCUCGUGUCGUGAGAUGUUGGGUCAAGUCCCGCAACGAGCGCAACCCUUGUGGCAUGUUGCUAACAGGAAAGCUGAGGACUCAUGCCAGACUGCCGGUGACAAACCGGAGGAAGGCGGGGAUGACGUCAAAUCAUCAUGCCCCUUAUGGCCUGGGCUACACACGUACUACAAUGGCGGCUACAAAGAGCGGCGAGACAGUAAUGUCGAGCGAAUCUCAUAAAAGCCGUCCCAGUUCGGAUUGGAGCCUGCAACCCGGCUCCAUGAAGUUGGAAUCGCUAGUAAUCGCGGAUCAGCAUGCCGCGGUGAAUACGUUCCCGGGCCUUGCACACACCGCCCGUCAAG